AUUUGAUCAUAAAAGGACAAGAGAGAAGAAGUGGUUAUAAGAUGUCAACAUUUGUUUCCAGUUCCCGUCAGAGACAAAGAAACACAAACCCAAGGAUUGAAUCACUUGGUGGUCCAGUAAAAGAAUGCAUUCUCCUCAGCUAUCUGGAGAAGUUCAAGAUUGUCUUUGAUAAAAGAAUAUUUACCAGGUGUCUGAAAAUACCAAGCUGGAGAAUUAGUCUAUGGUGAUUAAAAACUCUCAAAGCAUGUCUUACCAACUGGAGAAUUUUUCCUAUGUCAACCAAAGGGACCUCCCAGUGCCAAGUGUAUAAGUGUGUCUGGAAUUGGUGGGUUCUUGGUCUCACUGACUUCAAGAAUGAAGCUGCAGACCCUCCUGUUAGGAGCCUUUUGACUCUUUCACAGCUAGCAUGAAGGCACAGGGAGGGAAAUCUCAAAAACCAACAACCUGUGUAUUCCCAGCCUAUUAAUCAAUAGAAAAUCACUUCAACUGGAUUAGGGUCUUGUACCUGGAAGAAAGGCUGUUAUGGACAUUGGAAUUGGAUUUUUAC
This 547-nucleotide long non-coding RNA is filed under the name Homo sapiens (human). RNAcentral describes it as "HSALNT0366543". Lineage: Eukaryota; Metazoa; Chordata; Mammalia; Primates; Hominidae. The record is from RNAcentral.